GACGAACGCUGGCGGCGUGCUUAAUACAUGCAAGUCGAACGGAGAAGCCCUGCUUUUGUGUGGUACUCGAGCGCCGAACGGGUGAGUGACAAGAGUGUACCCUGCCCUUGACGUUGGGUUAACGUCAGGUAACUGAGGCCAAUAUCGGAUCGGAGCUCCUGCUGCUUGUGGGGUGUUGGAAAUUUUCGGCGGUUGUGGAUCGACUCGCGGCUUACCAGCUUGUUGGUGGGGUAGUGGCUUACCAAGACUUUGAUGGGUAGUCGGCCUGAGAGGGUGACCGGCGACAUUGGGACUGAGAUACGGCCCAGACUCCUACGGGAGGCAGCGGUGGGGAAUAUUGCACAAUGGGCGGAAGCCUGAUGCAGAACCGCCGCGUGCGGGAUGACGGCCUUCGGGUUGUAAACCGCUUUCGCCUGUGACGAAGCGUGAGUGACGGUAAUGUGUAAAGAAGCACCGGCUAACUACGUG
This 468-nucleotide ribosomal RNA is filed under the name uncultured bacterium. RNAcentral's name for it is "partial 16S ribosomal RNA". It matches the Rfam family "Bacterial small subunit ribosomal RNA", at positions 28 to 507 of the family's 1533-position model. The record is from RNAcentral.